GGUUGAUCCUGCCAGACCUGACUGCUAUCGGAUUGAUACUAAGCCAUGCGAGUCAUUGUAGUAAUACAAGGCAUACGGCUCAGUAACGCGUAGUCAACCUAACCUAUGGACGGGAAUAACCUCGGGAAACUGAGUAUAAUGCCCGAUAGAACAUUAUGCCUGGAAUGGUUUAUGUUCCAAAUGAUUUAUCGCCGUAGGAUGGGACUGCGGCCUAUCAGUUUGUUGGUGAGGUAAUGGCCCACCAAGACUAUUACAGGUACGGGCUCUGAGAGGAGUAGCCCGGAGAUGGGUACUGAGACACGGACCCAGGCCCUAUGGGGCGCAGCAGGCGAGAAAACUUUGCAAUGUGCGAAAGCACGACAAGGUUAAUCCGAGUGGUUUCUGCUAAAGGAACCUUUUGUUAGUCCUAGAAACACUAACGAAUAAGGGGUGGGCAAGUUCUGGUGUCAGCCGCCGCGGUAAAACCAGCACCUCAAGUGGUCAGGAUGAUUAUUGGGCCUAAAGCAUCCGUAGCCGGCUCUGUAAGUUUUCGGUUAAAUCUGUACGCUCAACGUACAGGCUGCCGGGAAUACUGCAGAGCUAGGGAGUGGGAGAGGUAGACGGUACUCGGGAGGAAGGGGUAAAAUCCUUUGAUCUCUCGAUGACCACCUGUGGCGAAGGCGGUCUACCAGAACACGUCCGACGGUGAGGGAUGAAAGCUGGGGGAGCAAACCGGAUUAGAUACCCGGGUAGUCCCAGCUGUAAACUAUGCAAACUCAGUGAUGCAUUGACUUGUGGUCAAUGCAGUGCUGCAGGGAAGCCGUUAAGUUUGCCGCCUGGGAAGUACGUACGCAAGUAUGAAACUUAAAGGAAUUGGCGGGGGAGCACCACAAGGGGUGAAGCCUGCGGUUCAAUUGGAUUCAACGCCGGA
This 910-nucleotide ribosomal RNA is filed under the name uncultured archaeon. RNAcentral's name for it is "bacterial SSU rRNA". It matches the Rfam family "Archaeal small subunit ribosomal RNA", at positions 6 to 922 of the family's 1478-position model. The record is from RNAcentral.